RNAcentral lists this ribosomal RNA (687 nucleotides) under Monopelopia sp. ZACHIR12. RNAcentral describes it as "partial 28S ribosomal RNA". It matches the Rfam family "Eukaryotic large subunit ribosomal RNA", at positions 386 to 944 of the family's 3401-position model. RNAcentral also lists the same sequence under 1 other name. The record is from RNAcentral. Lineage: Eukaryota; Metazoa; Arthropoda; Insecta; Diptera; Chironomidae.
UGUCUAGGGGUUCAAACCUAAAGAACUCAAAUAUCUAAACGGAGAAAUUCAAUACUAUUCGCAAGAAUGGUGUGCACUUUUCUCUUAGUAGGACGUUGUGAUCCAUUAGGAAUCGAGUGGGUAUCUAAUGUUGCCCAUUCAAUAGGCUACCAAUAGGCGGGCAUUGAAGUUCACAUUGACAAACAACACGAUCCUUUGGUUGUGUAUAUUGUCUUGUGAGCGUGCCAUGUUCUGAUGUAGCUGCCUGAUGGUUUUUAAAGAUCGCAUAUUGAUGCUUGCAUCACCCAACUCGUUGGGCUAUUUAAAAUGCGUAUCCGAUCAACAACGCUUUCAUUUGGGAUACCUUUGGGACCCGUCUUGAAACACGGACCAAGGAGUCUAUCUAGUAUGCGAGUAAAUGGGAUGAAAAAACCUAUUUGCGUAAAUAACUUGACUGUAAUUUAAUGGGAUUACGUGUGUGUUUACUGUAUAGUGCAUGCACCUCCAUCCCGGAGUAUUUUCAUCACAUAUGUGAGCAAUUGCAUAUAGAAAAUAUAUCAUGAGCAUACUGGACAUGACCCGAAAGAUGGUGAACUAUGCCUGAUCAGGUUGAAGUCAGGGGAAACCCUGAUGGAGGACCGAAGCAAUUCUGACGUGCAAAUCGAUUGUCAGAAUUGGGCAUAGGGGCGAAAGACCAAUCGAACUAUC